AGUGAACGCUGGCGGUAGGCCUAACACAUGCAAGUCGAACGGCAGCACAGUAAGAGCUUGCUCUUACGGGUGGCGAGUGGCGGACGGGUGAGGAAUACAUAGGAAUCUACUUUUACGUGGGGGAUAACGUAGGGAAACUUACGCUAAUACCGCAUACGACCUACGGGUGAAAGCAGGGGAUCUUCGGACCUUGCGCGAUUGAAUGAGCCGAUGUCGGAUUAGCUAGUUGGCAGGGUAAAGGCCCACCAAGGCGACGAUCCGUAGCUGGUCUGAGAGGAUGAUCAGCCACACUGGAACUGAGACACGGUCCAGACUCCUACGGGAGGCAGCAGUGGGGAAUCUUGGACAAUGGGCGCAAGCCUGAUCCAGCCAUACCGCGUGGGUGAAGAAGGCCUUCGGGUUGUAAAGCCCUUUUGUUGGGAAAGAAAAGCAGCAGGUUAAUACCCCGCUGUUCUGACGGUACCCAAAGAAUAAGCACCGGCUAACUUCGUG
RNAcentral lists this ribosomal RNA (492 nucleotides) under uncultured bacterium. RNAcentral's name for it is "partial 16S ribosomal RNA". It matches the Rfam family "Bacterial small subunit ribosomal RNA", at positions 29 to 507 of the family's 1533-position model. The record is from RNAcentral.